AUUUGUACCCUCAAGCUUUGCUUGGUGAUGGGUGUUUGUUCCGCUGCAACGCGUGAACUCGCCUCAAAUCAAUUGGCAGCCGGCAAUCUGGUGUUGGAGCGCAGCACAUUUUGCGCUCUUCGCUGUAGAUUGCGGGCGUCCAUGAAGCCUAUAUUUUCGCGCUUGACCUCGGAUCAGGUAGGGAUACCCGCUGAACUUAA
RNAcentral lists this unclassified non-coding RNA (200 nucleotides) under soil metagenome. RNAcentral describes it as "partial contains internal transcribed spacer 2 and large subunit ribosomal RNA". The record is from RNAcentral.